RNAcentral lists this ribosomal RNA (465 nucleotides) under uncultured bacterium. RNAcentral's name for it is "partial 16S ribosomal RNA". It matches the Rfam family "Bacterial small subunit ribosomal RNA", at positions 28 to 507 of the family's 1533-position model. The record is from RNAcentral.
GACGAACGCUGGCGGCGUGCUUAACACAUGCAAGUCGUACGGUAAGGCCCUUUCGGGGGUACACGAGUGGCGGACGGGUGAGUAACACGUGAGUAACCUGCCCACAACUUUGGGAUAACGCUAGGAAACUGGUGCUAAUACUGGAUAUGUGCUCCUGCUGCAUGGUGGGGGUUGGAAAGCUCCGGCGGUUGUGGAUGGACUCGCGGCCUAUCAGCUUGUUGGUGGGGUAGUGGCCUACCAAGGCGGCGGCGGGUAGCCGGCCUGAGAGGGUGACCGGCCACAUUGGGUCUGAGAUACGGCCCAGACUCCUACGGGAGGCAGCAGUGGGGAAUAUUGCACAAUGGGCGCAAGCCUGAUGCAGCAACGCCGCGUGCGGGAUGACGGCCUUCGGGUUGUAAACCGCUUUCAGCAGGGACGAAGCUUUUUGUGACGGUACCUGCAGAAGAAGCACCGGCUAACUACGUG